CAGUAGCCACGGGAAUACGAGGGGGGCAAGCGUUGUCCGGAAUUAUUGGGCGUAAAGGGCUCGCAGGCGGUUUCUUAAGUCUGAUGUGAAAGCCCCCGGCUCAACCGGGGAGGGUCAUUGGAAACUGGGAAACUUGAGUGCAGAAGAGGAGAGUGGAAUUCCACGUGUAGCGGUGAAAUGCGUAGAGAUGUGGAGGAACACCAGUGGCGAAGGCGACUCUCUGGUCUGUAACUGACGCUGAGGAGCGAAAGCGUGGGGAGCGAACAGGAUUAGAUACCCCCGUAGUCCCUGUCUCUUAUAC
This 301-nucleotide ribosomal RNA is filed under the name uncultured bacterium. Its description in RNAcentral is "partial 16S ribosomal RNA". It matches the Rfam family "Bacterial small subunit ribosomal RNA", at positions 509 to 807 of the family's 1533-position model. The record is from RNAcentral.